This is a long non-coding RNA of Oncorhynchus tshawytscha (Chinook salmon), 2285 nucleotides long. NCBI's taxonomy places the organism in Eukaryota, Metazoa, Chordata, Actinopteri, Salmoniformes, Salmonidae. The record is from Ensembl.
GUUUAUUGGGCAGUGGAUCACGAGGGGAAUGAGACCCAUCAUUAGAGUUAGAGAAUUUUGAAUGUUCGUUGAUUGCUUUGAUUGCUUCGGUUUCGGCUUUUGGAUGCAUUGAGAGAAAUGUUGAUUUACUGUUGGCUCCAACCUGUCAUGCUUCGGUGUCAAGACUCUCAUAUAAAUAUGUAAGUUAUCAAGGUCCGGGAUCAAAACUGCCUAUAUGAAGCUAUCUGACUGGCACAGUCAAACAUGGACUAUCAGUCUCGGCGUUGGUGGACUCUGUCAUGCGAUGACCGGUAACCUACUGCACCGCUGAGCUCCGGGAUCAUAGCAAAACUCCAAGUGAAGGGGGUGGUAAUGCUGGAUCCAAGGGCUGGGACUGGCACAACACCAUGGGUCAACAAGUGGUACAACUAACUAUGAUGGCUACGUGGGCUUAUUUAGCUAGCUACGAACUAACUUCUGAGGUAAUGGGAUAGACCCGAAGCUAGCUAGCUAACACACAAGGAUGGAAAUGCCCAACAAAAAGCUAUAAAAGUGUGGAGUCAAUUGAGGGUACUAUGUUUCAUGAAGCCAAUAGAAGACUGUUGCUCACUGAGAGGAGGUAUGAAUAAAUUAAUUAUUAUAAGUCUUGGUGAUUCAAUAGCCUAUUUAAGCAUUACAUGACUUUUCACACACUAUUUUACUUACUGUCAGUAAUCAAGAACUAUCAGAGGCAGAGGAUCUCUCUUUCGGCUGCUGCUGACAACUGCAUGUAAAUUGUUCUUCAUCCGAACAUUAAGAGCACCUUCCUAAUAUUGAGUUGGACCCCCGUUGGACGGGGGGUCCAACUCAAUAUUAGGAAGGUGCUCUUAAUGUUUGGAUGAAGAACAAUUUACAUGCAGUUGUCAGUAGCAGCCCCCCCUUUUCCCCUCAGAACCACCUCAAUUCAUCAAGGCAUGGACCCUAUCAUGUGUUGAAAGCAUUCCACAUAGAUGUUGGCCAAUGUUGACUCUAAUGCUUCCUGCAGUUGUGUCAAGUUGGCUGGAUGUCCUUUGGGUGGUGGACCAUUCUUAAAUGGGAAGCUGUUGUGUGAAAGUGUUGUGUUGCAGUUCUUGACACAAACCACUGCGCCUGAUGCCUACUACCACACCACAUUCAAAGGCACUUACAUCAUUUUUCUUUCCCAUUCACCCUCUGAAUGGCAUACAUACACAAUCCAUGUCUCAAUCCAUGCAUACAUACAAAAUCCUUCUUUUACCUGUCUCCUCCCCUUCAUCCACACUAAUUUAAGUGGAUUUAACAGGUUACAUCAAUAAGGCAUCAUAGCUUCGAAAGAGCAGGUGUCCUUAAUGUUUUGUAUACUCAGUGUAUGUCUGCAUAGCGUUUUGUCUUCAUUUUGGCAGAUUAACUGAUGCUUAUUUCUGAAGAUGACCUGUUUAUUCUCCUUUUUUCUCCUCUGGAAUCAGUCAGGCAACAACCUAUACUGUACUGUACUGGGCCGGGCACCGGGUUCUAUAUGGAAGCAUUUUGGUUCAGUGAAGAAGAACCUCUGGGGUUUUUUAUAACUUUUAGGGAAUCCAUAUAUGAAGCAAGUGAUAGAACCCUUUUUGGUUUUAUAAGGAACCUUCUUUUCUAAGAGUGUGGCUAAUAAAUGAGGAAGCUUAGGAAGGAGAAAGCUGAUACCACUUAUGGAGGGGAUUUACUCUAUCAGGCAAAUGGGCAGACAAUGGUUCCUAGUUGGUGCCUGGAUUGCCUAGUCAAAUUGAAGUAUUAUUGACAAAACUUUACACUGCAUAUCUGCAUAUCAUUCUCUACCUUUCACUGGUGAACAAAGUCUUUUGGGGUCAAAUGAAGUGUACAUGAGCCUACCUCAUUAAAUCAAUUAUAUUACAAUUACAUCUGAAUAACACUGUAAGUGAGCCUGACCCAGGGUAGACAUACAGACAGCUAUUAACAGUUGAUUAUUAGUAAACAAGGAAGUCUUUUGUUUUUAUUUGACCAUUUCAAUUAUCCACCUCUCUCCCUCCCCCGCUCCCUCCUGGUACAGACAGACUACUGGAGCUUCCCAGAAACUGUAAUCACAUUCACUAUUAAUGAGACAUGUUCAUUCUGGACCCAUUUACUGCUCGUAAUAAUGCAUACUCUCUGGAAUUGUCUGUGGGUAUAUUACACUGUGUGCAUAUCAAACACACACACACACUCUCCAUGUCCUCCUGGAAGAGAGAUAUCUGGUGGUUCGGUCAUGUUGUCUGUCUGGCCUCAGGCUUAAUACUCUCCAGGAAAAUAUGAGAAUGUAUUAUGCGGGGGGG